AAUAGGACCUUAGUAUAGUAUAAGUGUGUCUCUGUGAUUUCGGGCAUAGGUUGAGGGGGUACUUGUGCAUUUUCCCUAUAUUAAAUUCUAAACCUGCACAUAAGUGCGCCUACUGUAUACUUUAUGACUUUUAAAACAAAACUUUACAAAUGGCCAGCUAUACACAUUGGCCUUUCAAAAAAGUAAAAGCAAUUUACUAUACAAAGGAAUCUUAUCUUUUAUUUUUACAUUUUUCAAAGAUAUCUAUCCCUUUGUCUGUCACCUUUUUUGUUUAUAUCUAUCUUUAUGUCUUUUUCUUAUUUUGUCUUUGUCGUCAUUUUUGUUUGUCUACUAUAACUCUUUUUCUUCAUCCUUUAUCUUAUUUUACAUUCUUAUCUCUUCAUCUUUAUUCCAAAUCAAUAUCUGGUAUAACGUUAUCUUCUCCAUUGCAUUUGGAAAAUCUAUGAUCUGGUUGUAUUUAAACAAACAUUAUGGGUUUUAGGGAGUUUUCCAUCGUCUCCUUUUAUCUCAGGAUUUUUACUGUCUUCCGAUCGACGUAGCUUCGCAUUUUUAUAGUCAUGCUGCUGACUUAUAUUAGCUUUAGACUUCAGGUUAUCUUCAUUGGUCUUUACCUUUUGUAUCUCAUUGUCCGUACUAUCCACUUUAGUACAAAGUGUAGUAAUGGCUUUGAGUAGCUUUUCAAUUGUAUCUUCGUCUUUGUUCUCAGUCUGAGUAGCUUUGUCUUGAUAAGUAGUCUGCAACACCAUUCUUAUUAGUCUUUAUCACUUCAAUUAUAAAUGUAAAGUUUAAUAUAUUUAAUACCAAUCUUUUAAUUUCUUUCGUUGUUACUGAA
Molecule: long non-coding RNA, 832 nt
Organism: Solanum lycopersicum (tomato)
Lineage: Eukaryota; Viridiplantae; Streptophyta; Magnoliopsida; Solanales; Solanaceae
Source: RefSeq, a predicted model, not a curated record